AAUAGAUACCCCGGUAGUCCACCCCGUAAACGUUGGAAACUAGUUGUGGGGACCAUUCCACGGUUUCCGUGACGCAGCUAACGCAUUAAGUUCCCCGCCUGGGGAGUACGGCCGCAAGGCUAAAACUCAAAGGAAUUGACGGGGACCCGCACAAGCGGCGGAGCAUGCGGAUUAAUUCGAUGCAACGCGAAGAACCUUACCAAGGCUUGACAUAUACGAGAACGGGCCAGAAAUGGUCAACUCUUUGGACACUCGUAAACAGGUGGUGCAUGGUUGUCGUCAGCUCGUGUCGUGAGAUGUUGGGUUAAGUCCCGCAACGAGCGCAACCCUCGUUCUAUGUUGCCAGCACGUAAUGGUGGGAACUCAUGGGAUACUGCCGGGGUCAACUCGGAGGAAGGUGGGGAUGACGUCAAAUCAUCAUGCCCCUUAUGUCUUGGGCUUCACGCAUGCUACAAUGGCCGGUACAAAGGGCUGCAAUACCGUAAGGUGGAGCGAAUCCCAAAAGCCGGUCCCAGUUCGGAUUGAGGUCUGCAACUCGACCUCAUGAAGUCGG
This 553-nucleotide ribosomal RNA is filed under the name uncultured bacterium. RNAcentral's name for it is "bacterial SSU rRNA". It matches the Rfam family "Bacterial small subunit ribosomal RNA", at positions 777 to 1329 of the family's 1533-position model. The record is from RNAcentral.